Molecule: long non-coding RNA, 5268 nt
Organism: Caretta caretta (loggerhead turtle)
Lineage: Eukaryota; Metazoa; Chordata; Testudines; Cheloniidae
Source: RefSeq, a predicted model, not a curated record
GACGCGGGGCUGAGGCUCACAUGCGGGAACUGAAUUAUAGUGGAGUAAAGCAGCCACCCUUUAAACGCACUCUCGGCAAUGGCUCUAGUUGUGAGCCAGUUGCUCCUACUAUAAACAUACAUGAGACCGAUUUCCUGUGUGUGUAGAUGUGUGUGUGUCGAGUGGAGCGGAGGACCACCGCCAGGGCGCGAGAUCUAGGGACACUAGGUGGGGGGAAAUACCGUUUAAUCGGCGGAGGGACAUUAUCAUCUGGACAAUGCACAUUUUGUCACUGGCGAAGAUUUGUAUACAACUGCAAAGCCACAACUCAUGUGAUGACCACUGCACACAACGAGCCAAAUCGAGUUCACUGUGGGCACAAAGGUAGCCCCAUCGACUCCGGGGUAAACGGAUGGGCUGGAAAGCACUUGAACAGGGGGAGGCUGCUCCCGGAAUAGGGGUCGGGGGGUCGGGGAGAAGCGGGCCGGAUUUAGCCCGAUUCUUUCCCCCGUUGAAGUCAAUUGGUGCUUUGCCAUUGUUUUCAUCAGGAGCGAGAUCGCGCCCAGCAGGCUGCAGUGUCCCGAGUGUAACUUGAACUUGAAGAAGGUAUCUGGCAGUGGGUUGUAGCCUGGAGCUCUCUGGAAAGCAGUCACAACUCAUUUGUGUCAGAGCUGUAGCUCGCUGUAACAUAUGCAGUCCCUGCUAGAAAUAAAUACCAUCAAAUCUGCUACCAAAAAAGAAAGGCUUCUAUUGUAAAUAUGCAGAGGAAAGAGAAAGGGAGGCGGAUCCCCUAUCUUGCCAUUUCCAGUGCUUUGAAAUCCCCAGUAUUUGUGAGUGGUUUUCCUCUUCAACCUCGGUAUCAUUUGCUAAGGUCUGAGGAGGAAACCUUUGAAGCGGGGACUAUAUAGGCUCAGAGCACCUCCCUCCAAUCCCACCCCGCACCAGCCUAGUUCUCAGUCUGGAUUCUGGAUGCAUCUGGUAUUGAUGCCUCUGUUUCCUCAGACCUUUCUGUACCUCGGGCUAUGCCGCCAGUGCUCCUUAACCCUGGCCUGGAGAGCCAGGCCAGGGUCGGGGGGACCAGAAAGGCGGGGAUUCUUCUGUCUUGAACUUCAGCAAAGCUGAGAACAAACGUAAACAAAAGCUGGCCCUGGAGUAAGAGCUGUGGGACAGCGGGCUUGGUGUCCAGCCGAGCCAACUGCAGAUGUUGUGCUGUGGUUUUGCUUUGUUUUACAGAGUAACUCUCCCUUUGAGCAGAACGGGUCAAAUGCGCGACUUGAAAACUUGAGCGCUGGCAGCGAGACGCCCUUGCCUACCCAGCUGGAUAAUGGGAGGAAGCAGGGAGAGAGGGAGGCGGUAGGGAACCCUGCGAGGGAGACUUUGGCAGAAACAUGAACUCCACGUAGGAUGCUCUGGCUGGGGGUGGGCGGAUAAUCGCGAGUGACUUAUCUGCGGGUACUAGGUACCGCAUGGUUAACGCUGGUGGCACUGAGGCAAGUUUUAACCUCCCUCCUGCACCCCCACCCCCCGCAACUCCGCAGCAUCCGGGCUGGGGUGGGGGGGGGGAGGAUGUGUGCGCGGCGAUGCGCCCGGCCUGGGGCUUUGGGGAGGGAGUGCUCAGUCGCUGCUAUGCCCCCUGCGCCCCCCUGCCCUCUCUCGCUGUCUUUUUCGGGACCUUGCAGAAAGGAGGGUGGCGGGAAGAGAGGUCCCAAGAAGAGUUGGCUCGUGAGCAAGAGCGAACACCCCAAUCAUCCCGGUUGAAACAGCCACCAGACCCCGUUCCAGGUGCCCUGCCCACCGCUGCGCCCUCCGCCGUGACACCGGCUCUCCCAAGACAGCCCUGCAAGACGAGAGCCUCCUCCCCCCCCCACCGUCUCACUCUGCCCUUUUCAGAGGCCGCGGCCUGUGGCCCAGCCUUCACGUGGCUGCCCGGAAGACAGAGUCGCCAAAUCCUGCUCCUGGGCAAGGUUGACAGAGACUCAGGAAGUGGGGCCCUUGGCUCCCUGCCUGAACAGGGGUGAGCAAGUCCAUGGCUGGGGCAGGUUAGCUGGAAAAGCAGCUGUCAGCAAAGGCGAGCAGGAAGAGACCCCCUCCAGGCACGUGAUUGAAAUCCAGGCUGAUGCCCCAGAUAAGCCAGUCCUUAUCAACACCUCCAGAGAAAGCUUUCUGCUCCCCCUGAUUACGGUCCAGCUGCAAGUGCACAGUGUUUCAUUCGCAGGGUCUUUAAACUCCCGCUGUCCACGGGCAGUCGCUUCUAUUCAAGCCAUAACGCCAUGCCCCCUCCACAAGCCACCGGCGUCGCUGCACGUCAGUGUGGUAGCCGCCGACCCACGAGCCUUCUAGGGACUCAAACGCAUGCCCCGUGCACAAGGUUCCUUUCCUUGGAGCUGUGCAAUAGGAGCCCCAGGAUGGCUCAGGCUGAGGGGAAGAGCUUAGGGGCAGGCUCAGCUAUUGAACGCGAAAGGGGGAAAACUCUCGUCUAAAACGUUCAGUAGUUAUGAGAGAAGGGAUAAAAAUACGCGCGCAAAAAUCUAGUAGAUGUCAAAAUCACUCAGCGCAUAGUUACAGUGCGGUUUUUAGGGGACUUGUGACAACAGUUUGGAGUGGAUUGUUCAUUCCCCUAGGGCAUUCUUUUCCAAUAUGGGCUCCAAGGUGCCGUUCAAGGCUCAGGAACAAAGCGGGCAUCUAAUGGCAAGGUAAUGGUCCCUCUUUUUUGUUUAUUCUUGUGUUAAUAAGGGAAUUCUGCUCUACAGAGGUUGGCAUAUUGAGUUACUUAGAUUUAUUUGGCAAUUAAAAAGAAUAAAGUCAACCAGCUUGUUCUUCAGGUAAAUAUGUGCCCUGUGUUCUACUUAGAAUGGCAUAACUCCUUUCGCCUAACACUCAAAGAAACAUAGGUAUCACUAGCAGUAUUAAAAAGUUCAUUUCAGCUAUUAAUAAUGAUUAGAUACACUCUAAUCCCCUACUUUUAGUUUCAAAUAAAAAAGGAAAAAAGGCACUAUUUUCAAGUACACUCUAUUAUAGCCAAAAGGAGACAGUCCUGGCUAAAAAAAAAUCUAUGUUUUGGUUUUUAAACUAACUAACUAACCUGUUUUAAUCACUAUGAUGUAAAUUGGUGAGCACAUCAGGAAACUGAAUGUUUAUUUUCUUCUUUAGAGGUAUCGAUAGUAUUUAAUCUUCAACAUUUCAUAAAGCUACAUGCUUAAUUUAAUGUCACUGAUAGGAGCUUUUAGCAUAUGGAGUUAAGACAUUUUUUUUACACAUAUGUGAUUGAUAUAUAUCAUAGGCCGGCAGGAUUUCUGUGUGCAUAUUUUAAUCUUUUGUAAAUAAACUGCGGUGAACGUGUGCAUGUUUGUGUGGGUGCGUGUGUGUGUGUGCAAGACAGAGAGAAGCAAAUGAAGAGUCUGACACCUUACAAUUCAUCUAUGGCUUUUAGUGUGGACUCUGAAACGAAUAUCUAUUAGAUUUCUUUGAGCAAUAUCCCAAUCGGUUAGAUGGGCCUCUCUUUUGAAUGAGAGUUCUAGAGGACGAAACAAAUGUAUGUUAUUCCAGCACAAUUCUUUACCAAACCCUUUUUUCCCCUUCCCCACCCUCCCCCUUUUUAGAAAGAGUAGUUUCAGCUCUGCUUUUCUGGAACCAUUCUCUGACGGUUUAGGGAUGUAGUAAUGAUAAAUGCUCAGCAGUUCUCAUUUCUUUUGUACUUUAUAAACAUUCUUCUUGUCUGGAACUUGAAAAAAGCCCCACAAAAUAGAAUUUAAUAUGUCUCCUGUCCCCUUGCUCUUGGCUUUUAUCUAUAUAAUUCACACACAAAAAACACGCACUUCAGGUUUGUACCUCAGCUCUCUAAAUAAGUGGUCUACAGAAAGCUACCCGGAUUGAUGCGACUAAGUUAAAGUAUACAUUAGUACUCUAGUUGGAAAUGAAGCUUGGAAUUGUUGAGCAAACAGUUUACUCUCUACUGUGGUGCUGCACACUGAAUGCUGUAUAGUGAGUUCUAUGGAGCGCUGGCAGGAAAGCACCACCAAGCAUGUCCAAAACUAAUAACAAAAAGGUUACUAUAUAUAAAACGUUUAUACAUCCAAAACUGCCUCAAGUUGUUUAAAUUUCGGUUUCGUGCACAUAAAUAUAGCAGCCAUGCGGUUCCCCAUAUCCCAGUUCCCGCUUUUUUAAAUCAAUUCAUUUCAAUUUGAAAGGAAGGCCCCAGACACAAGUCACAAUCAACAAUCGUUUAGCUUUCUAACACUAAACAUGCACCUUAUAAAGAAACAGUAUUGGUCUAUGUCGUCUCAAACACAUAUCUUGAUAGCCUGACGUUGUUCUUAAGAAAUGGUCAAAUCAGAGUAACAAUCUCCAUUUGUUUUCCUUUAUAAUCCAGCUAUUUUUAAAGUAUUCUUUUAAAAGAGAAGGGAGAAUUAAUUCUGCACAUGAACGAUGACUGGACUUUUGCAAACAUGGUGUGGUAGUGUGAUCCCAAACCAUGAUAUCUGUAAAUAAAACUCUUUCUAUAUAGUUUGUGCAUUUCAAUAAACCUCAGAAUACUGUAUGUGGACACCUGAAAUGGACAGAAUAUGCUACUAAAGAAUUUGAAUGCAUUUAACAAUACUGUUAUGAAAAUUAUUUCCAUGCCUAAUAUUUUAUGUUGCUAUUCAAUACUAGAAUGAAAUGGAUUUAAACCACCUACCUAUAAAAUAAACAUGUCUACUCUGGUCUAUUGUCUUGUCAGUGAGAUUGUCUUGUAAAAGCUAUUGAUUUUGUAUUUAAAUAUAAGAAUUGAUGUGGUGUUAUAUUUUCCUCUCAUUGAAACAUAUUAUAGACCUAUUCGGAAAAGUCGCUAAACUUUUCCUUUUGGUAAAAACAAAAAACAAAACACUCCCACACCCCCCUAUCCAAUAAACCUGUUUUGGAAUUACAGUUUUCAAUACACUGUUAGAAAAUAUAUUCUGGCACAAAUUUCAAUUGCUGUGCAAGGACUGCUUUUAAAUGCUGGCUUUUCAUCACAAUUAUUUUUUUAUUAGCAGUAGGUGUAAACUGGAAGAAAAUUUGAUUAUUUAAACGGAUGUUCAUCCUAUUAUGGCUGAAGAAAGAAGCAAAGCAGUGGACAAAGAUCUUGGGUGGUUGUGGGUUUCAUUAGGACUACAGUCUUCACAUAUAAAUCAGAUUCUCAUCUCACUGCUUUUCCUACCUAGAAAUUUGUUGUAUGUUUUUUUGUUUGCUUGCUUGUUUGUUUUAAGGUGAGUGGAAACUAAACCUUAGUGAAGGACAGAGAUCUCUUCACUCAAAUACAUAGUGAAAGUG